CCUACGGGCGGCAGCAGUGAGGAAUAUUGGUCAAUGGACGAGAGUCUGAACCAGCCAAGUCGCGUGAAGGAUGACUGCCCUAUGGGUUGUAAACCUCUUUUAUAUGGGAAUAAAACGUUCCACGUGUGGCAUUUUGUAUGUACCAUAUGAAUAAGCAUCGGCUAACUCCGUGCCAGCAGCCGCGGUAAUACGGAGGAUGCGAGCGUUAUCCGGAUUUAUUGGGUUUAAAGGGAGCGUAGGUGGAUUGUUAAGUCAGUUGUGAAAGUUCGGGGCUCAACCGUAGAAUUGCAGUUGAAACUGGCAGUCUUGAGUACAGUAGAGGUAGGCGGAAUUCGUGGUGUAGCGGUGAAAUGCUUAGAUAUCACGAAGAACUCCGAUUGCGAAGGCAGCUCACUGGACUGCAACUGACACUGAGGCACGAAAGUGUGGGUAUCAAACAGGAUUAGAUACCCUUGUAGUC
RNAcentral lists this ribosomal RNA (460 nucleotides) under uncultured bacterium. Its description in RNAcentral is "partial 16S ribosomal RNA". It matches the Rfam family "Bacterial small subunit ribosomal RNA", at positions 338 to 795 of the family's 1533-position model. The record is from RNAcentral.